UACGUAGGGGGCAAGCGUUGUCCGGAAUCAUUGGGCGUAAAGAGCGUGUAGGCGGUCCGAUAAGUCCGCUCUGAAAGCCCGGGGCUCAACCCCGGGAGGCGGGUGGAUACUGUCAAGCUCGAGUCCGGAAGAGGCGAGUGGAAUUCCUGGUGUAGCGGUGAAAUGCGCAGAUAUCAGGAGGAACACCAAUUGCGAAGGCAGCUCGCUGGGACGUUACUGACGCUGAGACGCGAAAGCGUGGGGAGCAAACAGG
Molecule: ribosomal RNA, 253 nt
Filed under: uncultured bacterium
Lineage: Bacteria
Description: partial 16S ribosomal RNA
Rfam family: Bacterial small subunit ribosomal RNA
Source: RNAcentral